Molecule: ribosomal RNA, 433 nt
Filed under: uncultured bacterium
Lineage: Bacteria
Description: partial 16S ribosomal RNA
Rfam family: Bacterial small subunit ribosomal RNA
Source: RNAcentral
AACGAACGCUGGCGGCAUGCCUAACACAUGCAAGUCGAACGAAGGCUUCGGCCUUUUUGGCGCACGGGUGCGUAACGCGAGGGAAUCUUCCCUUUUCUUCGGAAUAACUGUUAGAAAUGACUGCUAAUACCGGAUGAUGUCUCAAAACCAAAGAUUUAUCGGCAAAGGAUGAGCCCGCGUAGGAUUAGCUGGUUGGGAGGGUAAUGGCAUACCACGGGGACGAUCGUUAGCUGGUCUGAGAGACUGAUCAGCGACACCGGGACUAAGAAGCGGCCCAGAAUCCUACGGGAGGGGGCAGAGCGGGAUAUUGGAACAUGGCGGGAAGCAUGAUCGAGCACUGACGGGUGAGUGCUGAAAGCAUUAGGGUAGUAAAGCUCUUUUAACCAGGAUGGUAAUGACGGUACCGGGAGAAUAAGCCCCGGCUAACUACGUG